RNAcentral lists this ribosomal RNA (501 nucleotides) under uncultured bacterium. RNAcentral's name for it is "partial 16S ribosomal RNA". It matches the Rfam family "Bacterial small subunit ribosomal RNA", at positions 29 to 523 of the family's 1533-position model. The record is from RNAcentral.
AUUGAACGCUGGCGGAAUGCUUUACACAUGCAAGUCGAACGGCAGCACGGGUGCUUGCACCUGGUGGCGAGUGGCGAACGGGUGAGUAAUACAUCGGAACGUACCCAGUCGUGGGGGAUAACGUAGCGAAAGUUACGCUAAUACCGCAUACGUCCUGAGGGAGAAAGCGGGGGACCGUAAGGCCUUGCGCGAUUGGAGCGGCCGAUGGCGGAUUAGCUAGUUGGUGGGGUAAAGGGCUACCAAGGCGACGAUCCGUAGCGGGUCUGGGAGGACGGCCCGCCACACUAGAACAGAGACACGGUCAAGACUUCUACGGGAGGCAGCAGUGGGGAAUUUUGGACAAUGGGCGAAGCCUGAUCCAGCCAUUCCGCGUGAGUGAAGAAGGCCUUCGGGUUGUAAAGCUCUUUCGGCAGGGAAGAAACGGCUUGGGAUAAUACCCCGGGCUAAUGACGGUACCUGAAGAAGAAGCACCGGCUAACUACGUGCCAGCCGCCGCGGUAA